This 520-nucleotide ribosomal RNA is filed under the name uncultured Entrophospora. RNAcentral's name for it is "SSU rRNA". It matches the Rfam family "Eukaryotic small subunit ribosomal RNA", at positions 569 to 1084 of the family's 1831-position model. Lineage: Eukaryota; Fungi; Glomeromycota; Glomeromycetes; Entrophosporales; Entrophosporaceae. The record is from RNAcentral.
AGCAGCCGCGGUAAUUCCAGCUCCAAUAGCGUAUAUUAAAGUUGUUGCAGUUAAAAAGCUCGUAGUUGAAUUUCGGGAUUGACACGUCGGUCGUGCCUUAAGGGGUAUGAACUGGCGUAGUCAAUUUCUCACCUUCUGGAGAACCGCGCUGUCCUUAAUUGGGUGACGCGGGGAACCAGGACCUUUACUUUGAAAAAAUUAGAGUGUUUAAAGCAGGCAUUUUGCUUGAAUACAUUAGCAUGGAAUAAUAAAAUAGGACGGCAUGAUUCUAUUUUGUUGGUUUCUAGGAUCACCGUAAUGAUUAAUAGGGAUAGUUGGGGGCAUUAGUAUUCAAUUGUCAGAGGUGAAAUUCUUGGAUUUAUUGAAGACUAACUACUGCGAAAGCAUUUGCCAAGGAUGUUUUCAUUAAUCAAGAACGAAAGUUAGGGGAUCGAAGACGAUCAGAUACCGUCGUAGUCUUAACCAUAAACUAUGCCGACUAGGAAUCAGACGAUGUUAAUUUUUUAAUGACUCGUUUGGC